Molecule: transfer RNA, 73 nt
Filed under: Deltaproteobacteria bacterium
Lineage: Bacteria; Pseudomonadati; Myxococcota; Myxococcia
Description: tRNA-Glu
Rfam family: tRNA
About the family: Transfer RNA (tRNA) molecules are approximately 80 nucleotides in length. Their secondary structure includes four short double-helical elements and three loops (D, anti-codon, and T loops). Further hydrogen bonds mediate the characteristic L-shaped molecular structure. tRNAs have two regions of fundamental functional importance: the anti-codon, which is responsible for specific mRNA codon recognition, and the 3' end, to which the tRNAs corresponding amino acid is attached (by aminoacyl-tRNA synthetases). tRNAs cope with the degeneracy of the genetic code in two manners: having more than one tRNA (with a specific anti-codon) for a particular amino acid; and 'wobble' base-pairing, i.e. permitting non-standard base-pairing at the 3rd anti-codon position.
Source: RNAcentral
GGUCCCAUCGUCUAGUGGUUAAGGACACUGGCCUCUCACGCCAGAAACACGAGUUCAAAUCUCGUUGGGACUA